CCUUACCAUCCUUAUCUACCCUUA
This 24-nucleotide unclassified non-coding RNA is filed under the name Dictyostelium discoideum. The record is from RNAcentral. Lineage: Eukaryota; Evosea; Eumycetozoa; Dictyosteliales; Dictyosteliaceae.